UACGUAGGGUGCAAGCGUUAAUCGGAAUUACUGGGCGUAAAGCGUGCGCAGGCGGUUGUGCAAGACCGAUGUGAAAUCCCCCGGGCUUAACCUGGGAAUGGCAUUGGUGACUGCACGGCUAGAGUGUGUCAGAGGGGGGUAGAAUUCCACGUGUAGCAGUGAAAUGCGUAGAGAUGUGGAGGAAUACCGAUGGCGAAGGCAGCCCCCUGGGAUAACACUGACGCUCAUGCACGAAAGCGUGGGGAGCAAACAGG
This 254-nucleotide ribosomal RNA is filed under the name uncultured bacterium. RNAcentral describes it as "partial 16S ribosomal RNA". It matches the Rfam family "Bacterial small subunit ribosomal RNA", at positions 524 to 776 of the family's 1533-position model. The record is from RNAcentral.